UGAUGAAAUUUCUCCGGAAUCUCUGUAAAUCAAUGAUGAUUAUUGUCGAACCCUUUUCCAUCUGAUGACUGUAGUUUAUCUGC
Molecule: small nucleolar RNA, 83 nt
Organism: Callorhinchus milii (elephant shark)
Lineage: Eukaryota; Metazoa; Chordata; Chondrichthyes; Chimaeriformes; Callorhinchidae
Gene: SNORD68
Product: small nucleolar RNA, C/D box 68
Source: Ensembl